Molecule: long non-coding RNA, 1043 nt
Organism: Crotalus tigris (Tiger rattlesnake)
Lineage: Eukaryota; Metazoa; Chordata; Lepidosauria; Squamata; Viperidae
Exons: 2
Source: RefSeq, a predicted model, not a curated record
UUGUAAAUCUUUUUGCGUACUGGCAAAUCAAAGGAAGGAACUCUUCCUCUGGCUUUUUCAAUAGGAAUGAUUCCUGCCAAAGAAGGGAUCCUUGAGAAACUGAUAAAGAAUUUCCAAUUUCCUGGAGAAAACUGGAGGACUGACCACCAAACUUUUCUGCCCACAAAUAUGGUGGAAAGUUCAAAAAAUUAUUUACAGCAAAAAAUAUACUUCAGCAAACACCUUAAAAUUAAGCACCUAUCUGAAUUAAAAUAUGUAUUCCUGUAGUUCAGGUUUUCUAUUGUGAUUGGAUAUUAGGGAGGAUAUAAACAUGGCCUCAUACAUAGCAAUGGCCUCAUACAUGCAUUUCCUUAAAAUAUCUUUCCGUUCUAUUUUACCAGCUACUUUGUGAAGAGUAUCUAAACUGAGAAACCCAUCAUUCUCGUGCAAGAGGUGAUACCUACCCCCAGAUAAAUUGCCAGAAAGGUACCAAAUAUUCUGAAUUACUUGAACCUCAACAUGCAAAUAUUCAGUACAGAUUAAGCUUGACCCUCCUUGAUAUCAAAAGCCUUUGAAGAGGACCAACCAACCACUCUUAUGGCCACGAGACAUUGGCAAAGAGCUUUUGACAAGUUCAUGGGACAAAGUUUUACAACUAAGUACUAUCAGCCCUGCAGUAUCCCUCAGUGGACUUCUCCUCACAUACCAAUAUUGACUGGAAGCAGCCUCAAAGGAAGGAGAAUCACCAUAAAACAAUGUUCCCUAAUCCCAUGAGCCACAGUGCUAUCAAAGCCCCCUGUCAACUCUACAAAUGAGCACGGCUGCAGCCAUUUUCCUUCUCCUUCUAGGUUGCCACAUAGAUCGGAGGGAGGGGGUUGUCCAGGUGCUUGGUUAGUCAAAAUAAUCUUUUGUCCCAUGGGAACCAAGGUCAUUGACUGCUCCCGAGAUUAGGGACUGGGCGUUGCAUGGGUGGGACAUUUAACUUUGUAUUGAGGAAUUGUUACUUGUGUAUCCAGACUCUUGACCAUGCUGAUGCUUUGUAAUCAAUAAAGAUGUUCUUUGAG